UACGUAGGGUGCAAGCGUUAUCCGGAAUUAUUGGGCGUAAAGAGCUCGUAGGCGGUUUGUCGCGUCUGGUGUGAAAGUCCAUCGCUUAACGGUGGAUCUGCGCCGGGUACGGGCAGGCUAGAGUACGACAGGGGAGACUGGAAUUCCCGGUGUAACGGUGGAAUGUGUAGAUAUCGGGAAGAACACCAAUGGCGAAGGCAGGUCUCUGGGUCGUCACUGACGCUGAGGAGCGAAAGCGUGGGGAGCGAAC
This 250-nucleotide ribosomal RNA is filed under the name uncultured bacterium. Its description in RNAcentral is "partial 16S ribosomal RNA". It matches the Rfam family "Bacterial small subunit ribosomal RNA", at positions 524 to 773 of the family's 1533-position model. The record is from RNAcentral.